This 22-nucleotide microRNA is filed under the name Caenorhabditis elegans. Its description in RNAcentral is "cel-miR-2215-5p". Lineage: Eukaryota; Metazoa; Nematoda; Chromadorea; Rhabditida; Rhabditidae. The record is from miRBase by way of RNAcentral.
ACAGCACGUGUUACGAUGCUCC